GAGCAAUGAUGAUUCUGGUGGUGAAUGUGGUGAUGGGUUCAUCACUAACAGCUACAUUUGUGGCGAAAACUUCCACAUCUGAGCUC
Cicer arietinum (chickpea) is the source of this 86-nucleotide non-coding RNA. The record is from Rfam. Lineage: Eukaryota; Viridiplantae; Streptophyta; Magnoliopsida; Fabales; Fabaceae.